This 444-nucleotide ribosomal RNA is filed under the name uncultured bacterium. RNAcentral describes it as "partial 16S ribosomal RNA". It matches the Rfam family "Bacterial small subunit ribosomal RNA", at positions 50 to 523 of the family's 1533-position model. The record is from RNAcentral.
AACACAUGCAAGUCGAACGAAUAAGAGCCUAGCUUGCUAGGAAUUCUGUUAGUGGCAGACGGGUGCGUAACACGUGGGAACUUACCUUGCAGUAUGGGAUAACAACGGGAAACUGUUGCUAAUACCAUAUACUCUCCGAGGAGAAAAGAUUUAUCGCUGUAAGAUAGGCCCGCGCUAGAUUAGGUAGUUGGUGGGGUAAUGGCCUACCAAGCCUACGAUCUAUAGCUGGUCUGAGAGGACGACCAGCCACACUGGGACUGAGACACGGCCCAGACUCCUACGGGAGGCAGCAGUGGGGAAUAUUGGACAAUGGGCGAAAGCCUGAUCCAGCAAUGUCGCGUGAAUGAUGAAGGCCUUAGGGUUGUAAAGUUCUUUCGGUGGGGAAGAUAAUGACGGUACCCUCAUAAGAAGCUCCGGCUAACUCCGUGCCAGCAGCCGCCGUAA